RNAcentral lists this ribosomal RNA (344 nucleotides) under uncultured Pseudomonadota bacterium. Its description in RNAcentral is "bacterial SSU rRNA". It matches the Rfam family "Bacterial small subunit ribosomal RNA", at positions 29 to 351 of the family's 1533-position model. Lineage: Bacteria; Pseudomonadati; Pseudomonadota. The record is from RNAcentral.
AACGAACGCUGGCGGCGUGCUUAACACAUGCAAGUCGAGCGAGAAAGGGGGGCGAACCCCUCGAGUAGAGCGGCGCACGGGUGAGUAACGCGUGGGUAACCUACCCCCACGGCGGGGGAUAACUACUCGAAAGGGUGGCUAAUACCGCAUGAGACCACGGGAUCUUCGGAUCUUGCGGCUAAAGAUCGCACCGGCUUGCCGGUGCUGUCACCAGGGGAUGGGCCCGCGUCCGAUUAGCUAGUUGGCGAGGUAAUGGCUCACCAAGGCUACGAUCGGUAGCUGGUCUGAGAGGAUGAUCAGCCACACUGGAACUGAAACACGGUCCAGACUCCUACGGGUGGCAG